Molecule: transfer RNA, 82 nt
Filed under: Exophiala viscosa
Lineage: Eukaryota; Fungi; Ascomycota; Eurotiomycetes; Chaetothyriales; Herpotrichiellaceae
Description: Exophiala sp. JF 03-3F tRNA-Arg
Rfam family: tRNA
About the family: Transfer RNA (tRNA) molecules are approximately 80 nucleotides in length. Their secondary structure includes four short double-helical elements and three loops (D, anti-codon, and T loops). Further hydrogen bonds mediate the characteristic L-shaped molecular structure. tRNAs have two regions of fundamental functional importance: the anti-codon, which is responsible for specific mRNA codon recognition, and the 3' end, to which the tRNAs corresponding amino acid is attached (by aminoacyl-tRNA synthetases). tRNAs cope with the degeneracy of the genetic code in two manners: having more than one tRNA (with a specific anti-codon) for a particular amino acid; and 'wobble' base-pairing, i.e. permitting non-standard base-pairing at the 3rd anti-codon position.
Source: RNAcentral
GGCAGCGUGGCCUAAUGGUAAGGCGUUGCUUUCCGGAUCUGGAACCUGGCAAAGACUGUGGGUUCGAGUCCCAUCGCUGUCG